CUGGCUCAGGACGAACGCUGGCGGCGUGCUUAACACAUGCAAGUCGAACGGGGAUUAGCGAGCGGAAGGCUCGGCCGGAAGGUUGGUAAUUCGAGUGGCGGACGGGUGAGUAACGCGUGAACAAUCUGUCCCAGACAGGGGGAUAACACUUGGAAACAGGUGCUAAUACCGCAUAAGACCACAGGGCCGCAUGGACCAGGGGUAAAAGGAGCGAUCCGGUUUGGGGUGAGUUCGCGUCCGAUUAGAUAGUUGGUGAGGUAACGGCCCCACCAAGUCAACGAUCGGUAGCCGACCUGAGAGGGUGAUCGGCCACAUUGGAACUGAGAGACGGUCCAAACUCCUACGGGAGGCAGCAGUGGGGAAUAUUGGGCAAUGGGCGAAAGCCCUGACCCAGCAACGCCGCGUGAGUGAAGAAGGCCUUCGGGUUGUAAAGCUCUGUUAUAGUUGACGAAGGAAGUGACGGUAGGCUAUAAGGAAGCCCCGGCUAACUACGUGCCAGCCGCCGC
This 506-nucleotide ribosomal RNA is filed under the name uncultured bacterium. RNAcentral's name for it is "bacterial SSU rRNA". It matches the Rfam family "Bacterial small subunit ribosomal RNA", at positions 19 to 518 of the family's 1533-position model. The record is from RNAcentral.